Molecule: ribosomal RNA, 254 nt
Filed under: uncultured prokaryote
Description: partial 16S ribosomal RNA
Rfam family: Bacterial small subunit ribosomal RNA
Source: RNAcentral
UACGGAGGAUGCAAGCGUUAUCCGGAUUUAUUGGGUUUAAAGGGUGCGCAGGUUGUUUGAUAAGUCAGUGGUGAAAGUCUGUCGCUUAACGGUAGGAUUGCCAUUGAUACUGUUGGACUUGAAUAUGGAUGAGGUAGGCGGAAUGUGUAGUGUAGCGGUGAAAUGCAUAGAUAUUACACAGAACACCGAUUGCGAAGGCAGCUUACUAAUCCAUCAUUGACGUUGAGGCACGAAAGCGUGGGGAUCAAACAGGA